GAGCACGUAGGUGGGUUUGUCGCGUCGUCUGUGAAAUUCCGGGGCUUAACUCCGGGCGUGCAGGCGAUACGGGCAUAACUUGAGUACUGUAGGGGUAACUGGAAUUCCUGGUGUAGCGGUGAAAUGCGCAGAUAUCAGGAGGAACACCGAUGGCGAAGGCAGGUUACUGGGCAGUUACUGACGCUGAGGAGCGAAAGCAUGGGUAGCGAACAGGAUUAGAUACCCUGGUGGUCCAUGCCGUAAACGGUGGGCACUAAGUAGAGGGG
This 266-nucleotide ribosomal RNA is filed under the name uncultured bacterium. RNAcentral describes it as "partial 16S ribosomal RNA". It matches the Rfam family "Bacterial small subunit ribosomal RNA", at positions 565 to 828 of the family's 1533-position model. The record is from RNAcentral.